GGGGUUACAGACAACAGACAACAAACUCUGAAUGAGAGCCAAUCAAUCCCAUUGAAGCCCAAAGACUAACAUGUCUUUGAGGAUGAAAAAAGAAGGCACUAAAAUCGAUCUAAAAUUAGUAAUUGAAGAAGAGAUAAAAAUGGAUGCAUUUGGACAUCCCAGAAGAAAUUUUGCCCUUUCAAAGUGAUCAGUAAAUAUUUUUUUGUAAAGACUUCAUUGUAGCAGCUAAAAUUCUUACAAUUUGCAUUCUAUAUGAAACAAAACUGAAUAACAGAUCU
Molecule: unclassified non-coding RNA, 278 nt
Filed under: Hevea brasiliensis (rubber tree)
Lineage: Eukaryota; Viridiplantae; Streptophyta; Magnoliopsida; Malpighiales; Euphorbiaceae
Source: RNAcentral